RNAcentral lists this ribosomal RNA (370 nucleotides) under uncultured bacterium. Its description in RNAcentral is "bacterial SSU rRNA". It matches the Rfam family "Bacterial small subunit ribosomal RNA", at positions 28 to 393 of the family's 1533-position model. The record is from RNAcentral.
GAUGAACGCUAGCUACAGGCGUAACACAUGCAAGUCGAGGGGCAGCAUUGGAGUAGCAAUACUUCAGAUGGCGACCGGCGCACGGGUGAGUAACACGUAUCCAACCUGCCGCUUACUCGGGGAUAGCCUUUCGAAAGAAAGAUUAAUACCCGAUGGUAUAAAGAGUUCGCAUGUUCUCUUUAUUAAAGAAUUUCGGUAAGCGAUGGGGAUGCGUUCCAUUAGAUAGUUGGCGGGGUAACGGCCCACCAAGUCUACGAUGGAUAGGGGUUCUGAGAGGAAGGUCCCCCACAUUGGAACUGAGACACGGUCCAAACUCCUACGGGAGGCAGCAGUGAGGAAUAUGGUCAAUGGACGAGAGUCUGAACCAGCC